GAAGAUGCACCACCCCCUGCCCUGGCUCUAGACAUCCAGAGACCACGUUGGAGCCGUGCUGCAGACUCUCAGACCAGAGUUUCCACUCCAGAACUCUCGCCUGACCUCUGGUCCUGUACCUCCAGCAGCUUGUGGAAUCUCAGACUCAAAUACCAACUCAUCACAGGGUGCAGAAUGUCGAAGAAACUCAGGGCCCACCCCAACCACCUGACGAUGACACUCACAAUCAAAACCACGUACAUGGCUUCUACCACACACGCGCGCAGCCCUUGAGCUGAGGGUGUUACACACAGUACUGCAUUCCAUCUUCACGGACACUGUGAGGUCGCAUGCCCUGGAGGUUAAGAGCAAGGAGUCCGAGCUACAAGGGCAGAGUUGAGUCGUUGCAACACAGAUGUAAAUGUAUGGCUCACGAAGUCCUCUGAGGGUUGGCUGCCAUUAUGAUGAUUACACAGACGAACAACAGCGGGUCCCAAGCCAUCCAGCCGAAAGAAAAUUUCCAAGUCAUCUGCCUUUGAAAUUAAAUAGAAAGUAUGAAAUGAACUCAGUACCUUGCUGUGUGACCUCAGGUUCCUGAUACCUCACCCACUCUCCCUAUCUUGGGAGAGGGAAAAAGUAGUCACUGACAUGUUAGUAUAAAAAUAUUUCCCUCAGAGGCCAGCCCCGUGGCCGAGCGGUUAAGUUCGCACGCUCCGCUUCGGUGGCCCAGGGUUUCGCCGGUUCGGAUCCUGGGCACAGACAUGGCACCGCUCGUCAGGCCAUGCUGAAGCGGCAUCCCACAUGCCACAACUAGAAGGACCCACAACUAAAAAUAUGCAACUAUGUACUGGGGGGCUUUGGGGAGAAAAAGGAAAAAUAAAAUUUUUUAAAAAAU
Molecule: long non-coding RNA, 874 nt
Filed under: Equus caballus (horse)
Lineage: Eukaryota; Metazoa; Chordata; Mammalia; Perissodactyla; Equidae
Description: lncRNA (ENSECAG00000053083.1)
Source: RNAcentral